Molecule: long non-coding RNA, 859 nt
Organism: Dermochelys coriacea (leatherback sea turtle)
Lineage: Eukaryota; Metazoa; Chordata; Testudines; Dermochelyidae
Exons: 3
Source: RefSeq, a predicted model, not a curated record
CCCCACCCCAGAGCCAGCUGCACCUCAGCACCAGGCGAGAGGUCCCUGUGUAAACAGCCCCCGCGCCCCACCCCAGAGCCAGCUGCACCUCAGCACCGGGGGUGAGGGUUUAGCUUCCCUUCUCUUAUCUGACGCAGGUGGUGGACAAGGAGUGGAGGGGGAGCUGAACCCUACCAGACGGCGCGUGACUGGAGCAGGACUCUGUGAGUGCCCAGGCUGGUUGGGAUCACGGCACCAGCUCGCAGGAGACCUCGGGGUUGGGGCCAGACACAAUGGGCUGUGCCCCUGUGACAGCAUCAUCCCCCAUGGCCAAGACAGGGGGCGUCACCCCCAGGGCUGGGGGAGACGGGGCCAGCACCACAGGCGCAGACAGCAGCAGUGCUGCAAGAUCCCGAGCCGAUGCCGGCAGCCGGGACUGGCGAAAGGGCUACUGCUGCCCCUCUAGCUGCCCGUAGCCAGGAUCCUGAGCGGAGCCAGUGGGGGGCAUCUCGCCUUUCUCCCCAUGUCAUAAACAUACAGCUAAGGGUAGCAUAAAAUCCCUCCUUUACCUGUAAAGGGUUGAUAAGCUCAGGUAACCUGGUUAGCACCUGACCAAAAGGACCAAUAAUGGGAGAAGAUACUUUCAAAUCUGUGGGGGAAGGUUUUUGUUUCGAGCUGUGUUUGUUCUCUUGGGAGACAAAGAGAGAGAACAAGCAAGUAAUCCAGCUCCUACUGAAUGAUUCAUCUAAAAUUACAGGAACAAACAAAUAGCAACGAAAUGCAUUAGAGUAUCUUUUGUUUUAGCUUGUGAAUUUUCCCUAUGCUUAGAGGGAGGUUUAUCCCUGUUUUUUAUAACUUUAAAGUUUUGCCUAGAGGGGAA